UCCACCGACCGACCGAACCAGCUCCCUCAAAAAAAAAAAAAAUCCCCCGUCUCGUCCUCUGUUCGUGAGCACCGAUGUGCAGCCACUCCGGCGGGCGGCGGCGUUGCACGGCGACUCCAGCGGCUCCGGAGGCGCGGAGUCCCCAGCCACCAGGAAGCAACCGCAGGAGGCUCGGCUACUCGGGCACUACAGGCGCCGCUAUUGCCCCAGCACCACGGGCCCGGCGGCGAAUCUGGCAAGCACGUGUGCCGCACCUCCGGCGACUAGCCGACGCCCACAAAGGGACUCCCUCUGACUGGAUGUCCAGAAUGUGGAAGAGAAUCGUGAAGCAGUCAGCGACAUGUCUGAAUCCGGGCAAAUAUUCAGUGGAAUGCCCAAGGAAUGGCAAGGAUAUGAAGGUGAAAUACUGGCGUUUCUUCAUGUGGCUGGACAAGUACUUGGACAUGGUCGAGGAAAUUUGGAUGAUAAAUGUGCUCAUCAUGGGCAAUGCGUCUGCUCGCCGCGUGUCACGAGAAAUGCAGCGACGUAUUGAUGCUACGAGGGCUGAAAAUGAUGCUACAAGAGCUCAAAUUGAUGCUACAAGAGCUCAAAUUGAUGCUAUUAGGGUUGAGACUGCAGCACUGGAUCGACGUAUCGAGAAGUUGGCCGCCCAAAAUGCAAAGCUUCAGGUUUUAGUGUACUUUGUUUUCGUCAUUCUUCUUCUAGUGUUGCUACUGAAGCUAGUGAAGUAGAAUAUCUGCGCAAUGGAUCGUGGUCACUUUGUUGAAUGGGACAGACAUGUCGGACUGGUUGGUUCUGUUGAGAUAUGUAGUGUUUAGAGAAAUUGCAAGUUUACCAAGGGGUGUGACCUUCAUUUCACGUGGCAUUACUAGGCUCAGAAUUUUGAAAUUAUUCAAGUAAUUAGACAUGGCAGAUGACCAAGAUGGCAAAGAAAACAAGGGCGUAUGAUCUAUGGCGAACUAAAAUAGGGCAUAUGACCCCCUGCAAAAAUAAAAUAAGGGCAUAUGAUCAAAUCUCCCUGAAAGCUUCCACAUCAUUAUCCCAGAUGGCUAUGGGAAAAGCUUUUUGUUCCAAGAGAACACCGAAUUAUAUCAAAGAGAUGAGAGAUUAAACCUUUCUUCAUGUUCAUGUUUCACUUAUUUUUACAUGCUGAACUGGAAAGUAAAUAAAGAACUGGUGCAGCCACCACAGUUUGAGGCAGAGGUUCUAUGUUACCCAAAGCCAAAGAUUCUUUGUGAUUAUUUGUCAUGGAGACAAGCAGAAUGCCACAACAGAAACCAGUACAACACAUGCUUUUGGAUACUAGUGAAGUCCGGAAAAGGUGAAGGUGAAGAUGAAGUUCAUGAGAUACUGAAGGGAACAUUAUCAACGGACAAGAACGAUUUGCUCUUUCAGCGGUUUCGGAUAAACUACAACAACGACCCAGAGAUGUUCCAGAAGGGUUCGUGUACUUGCCAGCAAAAGGUAUUCUGUCCAUCUAUCAUUCGAGAGAUGUUUUUCAACAACAAUGAGAAGUACUGCUAUGAUGAGAAGAAGAUGAUUCUCGUAGCUUGCACCAGUUUCUCCGCUAAUGGCCUAAAGUGCAGGUGGUCCAAACCACAACCUCGAACUUGCUUAACCGUCUAAAUCUCCCCUCUAACCUGCUUAGACCGAUUUUGGUCUCGGUUCUCUUUUCUUCUUUCUUCUUUCUCCUCUCCCUCUCUCUGCCAGCCAUGGUUCUCUUCAGCCCAUGCCCUGGUUAAGAGGCAACUUGCUGCCGCUGGUGCUCAUACAUCCGCCCGCCGUGAGCGGCGGGCACUUCCUCACCUCUCCCACUCAUCCUCGCACACCAUGCCGCCACUGCUCCUGCAUUUGGUGACGUCGGCCUGCUGCUGCUCGCCGCUCACGGUUGUGCUUUUCCAGCUCUCUUGCUCGUCUGAACUCCCCAUGACGUGACCUGUUCUUCCCACCGCCUUCGAGCUCCUGGUAUUUCAUCCUUCAACCAGCUCCAUCUUCUGUGUUGGAUGUCAUGUGGAGUUGUUUUGAAGAAAACUGGACUGAAAGCCAGUUUAACUGGGUUAGGGGUGGGGGUGAUUUUGGGUUUAGCGAGUUUGAGCUUGUGACAACUCAAGUAUAGAUGGUUUCAACAAGAAUGCGGACUUCUCUCUUCCAACAAGAAUGAGAAGAAGAUGGUUUCUCUGCCAAUGGCCUAGAGUGCACUGCAGUUGGGAGUGUUCGCAGAGGUGUGAUUUCGCCGGAGAGCGACGGGAGAUAUGUUUAACCGGAACCGGAAAUGAUAUGUUUCUUUUAAGAGGGGAAAGAAAUGAUGUGUUUCGAAACGACGGUUGGUAAAAAGGAGGUCGGGCGUUCGAUCUCUCGACCGGCUUCCCUUACGUACGUAAAUAAGUGCCUUUUUAUUUCAUUCACGCGCCCCUCGAUUGGGCCUCGCACGCGCGCCGGUCCAUGCGGGCGAGACUGCACCGUUCCCAGGUUUGAUUAGUCCCACAUCGCCCGUCGUGGGACGGCACUGCCAGUUUAUAUACUGCGUUGGCUAUCAUGGUAUCACCUCCACGGGGAUAACAGACUGAGAAAAAAAAAGAGGGCUUGCAGCCCAGAAAAAUAGAGAAAAGAGGCCUUAGUUAGAUAGAGCCCAAGAGAAAAAAAGGAAAGAGGCCGUAGUGCCAAAAAAGAAGAAAAAGAUGAGCCCAAGAAAAAAAAAGAAAAAGCAGAAAAGCUGUGAAGUUUGUGCCCAAAGAGGCCAGAGCCGAAAAAUCCCCAAGGCAUUAGCACAUUGCUUUUUUUUUUGGUAGUUUUGAACCCUUACAUUUUCCACACCAUUUUCUUUCAACUGGGGGCAUCAACCUCUAAGGCCGGAUCGAGGAGGAUAUUGCCAAUAAAGUGCGUCCAUGUAUUUUUUUACAUUUCAACUCUUACGUGCCCUUUUCCCCCUCACUCAUAUAUAAUAUACUUCUUCCAUUCCUAAAUAUAAGUCUUUCUAGAGAUUCCACUAAGGAUUACAUACGGAGCAAAAUGAGUGAAUCCACACUCUAAAGUGCGUCUAUAUACAUUCGUAUGUAGUCCGCAUAGAAAUCUCUAAAAAGACUUACAUUUAGGAAGAGGGAGUAGUAAUUAUUGCUGAUAAAAAGGUAGCAGAAGGUCGUUCUUUCUUACUCUAAGUUGCAUUCGGGUGCUGCCGUUUUAGAGCUAGGCGAUAUUCUUUGUGUAAACCAGUAUCGUAUCUGUUCGAUAUGGACCAUUCUAUAAGUAUAGUCAUUUCAGUCUUCCUCAAAGGAUCUCCGAUCUAUUGUGCAACCUUCCCUUCGAAACCCACCCACACGAAUACUUCUACCCCUUAUCACAGCUCCAAUGCCCACAGGCAUCUGUCUCUAGCACAAAUCUUUUACUGAAAUCAGGGAGAACCAACACAGGGGCUGUGAAGUUUGUGCCCAAGAAAAAAAAAAGAAAAAGCAGAAAAGCUGUGAAGUUUGUGCCCAAAGAGGCCAGAGCCGAAAAAUCCCCAAGGCAUUAGCACAUUGCUUUUUUUUUUUGUAGUUUUGAACCCUUACAUUUUCCACACCAUUUUCUUUCAACUGGGGGCAUCAACCUCUAAGGCCGGAUCGAGGAGGAUAUUGCCAAUAAAGUGCGUCCAUGUAUUUUUUUACAUUUCAACUCUUACGUGCCCUUUUCCCCCUCACUCAUAUAUAAUAUACUUCUUCCAUUCCUAAAUAUAAGUCUUUCUAGAGAUUCCACUAAGGAUUACAUACGGAGCAAAAUGAGUGAAUCCACACUCUAAAGUGCGUCUAUAUACAUUCGUAUGUAGUCCGCAUAGAAAUCUCUAAAAAGACUUACAUUUAGGAACAGAGGGAGUAGUAAUUAUUGCUGAUAAAAAGGUAGCAGAAGGUCGUUCUUUCUUACUCUAAGUUGCAUUCGGGUGCUGCCGUUUUAGAGCUAGGCGAUAUUCUUUGUGUAAACCAGUAUCGUAUCUGUUCGAUAUGGACCAUUCUAUAAGUAUAGUCAUUUCAGUCUUCCUCAAAGGAUCUCCGAUCUAUUGUGCAACCUUCCCUUCGAAACCCACCCACACGAAUACUUCUACCCCUUAUCACAGCUCCAAUGCCCACAGGCAUCUGUCUCUAGCACAAAUCUUUUACUGAAAUCAGGGAGAACCAACACAGGGGCUGUGAAGUUUGUGCCCAAGAAAAAAAAAAGAAAAAGCAGAAAAGCUGUGAAGUUUGUGCCCAAAGAGGCCAGAGCCGAAAAAUCCCCAAGGCAUUAGCACAUUGCUUUUUUUUUUUGUAGUUUUGAACCCUUACAUUUUCCACACCAUUUUCUUUCAACUGGGGGCAUCAACCUCUAAGGCCGGAUCGAGGAGGAUAUUGCCAAUAAAGUGCGUCCAUGUAUUUUUUUACAUUUCAACUCUUACGUGCCCUUUUCCCCCUCACUCAUAUAUAAUAUACUUCUUCCAUUCUUAAAUAUAAGUCUUUCUAGAGAUUCCACUAAGGAUUACAUACGGAGCAAAAUGAGUGAAUCCACACUCUAAAGUGCGUCUAUAUACAUUCGUAUGUAGUCCGCAUAGAAAUCUCUAAAAAGACUUAUAUUUAGGAACAGAGGGAGUAGUAAUUAUUGCUGAUAAAAAGGUAGCAGAAGGUCGUUCUUUCUUACUCUAAGUUGCAUUCGGGUGCUGCCGUUUUAGAGCUAGGCGAUAUUCUUUGUGUAAACCAGUAUCGUAUCUGUUCGAUAUGGACCAUUCUAUAAGUAUAGUCAUUUCAGUCUUCCUCAAAGGAUCUCCGAUCUAUUGUGCAACCUUCCCUUCGAAACCCACCCACACGAAUACUUCUACCCCUUAUCACAGCUCCAAUGCCCACAGGCAUCUGUCUCUAGCACAAAUCUUUUACUGAAAUCAGGGAGAACCAACACAGGGGCUGUGAAGUUUGUGCCCAAGAAAAAAAAAAGAAAAAGCAGAAAAGCUGUGAAGUUUGUGCCCAAAGAGGCCAGAGCCGAAAAAUCCCCAAGGCAUUAGCACAUUGCUUUUUUUUUUUGUAGUUUUGAACCCUUACAUUUUCCACACCAUUUUCUUUCAACUGGGGGCAUCAACCUCUAAGGCCGGAUCGAGGAGGAUAUUGCCAAUAAAGUGCGUCCAUGUAUUUUUUUACAUUUCAACUCUUACGUGCCCUUUUCCCCCUCACUCAUAUAUAAUAUACUUCUUCCAUUCCUAAAUAUAAGUCUUUCUAGAGAUUCCACUAAGGAUUACAUACAGAGCAAAAUAAGUGAAUCCACACUCUAAAGUGCGUCUAUAUACAUUCGUAUGUGGUCCGCAUAGAAAUCUCUACAAAGACUUACAUUUAGGAACAGAGGGAGUAGUAAUUAUUGCUGAUAAAAAGGUAGCAGAAGGUCGUUCUUUCUUACUCUAAGUUUCACUCGGGUGCUGCCGUUUUAGAGCUAGGCGAUAUUCUUUGUGUAAACCAGUAUCGUAUCUGUUCGAUAUGGACCAUUCUAUAAGUAUAGUCAUUUCAGUCUUCCUCAAAGGAUCUCCGAUCUAUUGUGCAACCUUCCCUUCGAAACCCACCCACACGAAUACUUCUACCCCUUAUCACAGCUCCAAUGCCCACAGGCAUCUGUCUCUAGCACAAAUCUUUUACUGAAAUCAGGGAGAACCAACACAGGGGCUGUGAAGUUUGUGCCCAAGAAAAAAAAAAGAAAAAGCAGAAAAGCUGUGAAGUUUGUGCCCAAAGAGGCCAGAGCCGAAAAAUCCCCAAGGCAUUAGCACAUUGCUUUUUUUUUUGUAGUUUUGAACCCUUACAUUUUCCACACCAUUUUCUUUCAACUGGGGGCAUCAACCUCUAAGGCCGGAUCGAGGAGGAUAUUGCCAAUAAAGUGCGUCCAUGUAUUUUUUUACAUUUCAACUCUUACGUGCCCUUUUCCCCCUCACUCAUAUAUAAUAUACUUCUUCCAUUCCUAAAUAUAAGUCUUUCUAGAGAUUCCACUAAGGAUUACAUACAGAGCAAAAUAAGUGAAUCCACACUCUAAAGUGCGUCUAUAUACAUUCGUAUGUGGUCCGCAUAGAAAUCUCUACAAAGACUUACAUUUAGGAACAGAGGGAGUAGUAAUUAUUGCUGAUAAAAAGGUAGCAGAAGGUCGUUCUUUCUUACUCUAAGUUUCACUCGGGUGCUGCCGUUUUAGAGCUAGGCGAUAUUCUUUGUGUAAACCAGUAUCGUAUCUGUUCGAUAUGGACCAUUCUAUAAGUAUAGUCAUUUCAGUCUUCCUCAAAGGAUCUCCGAUCUAUUGUGCAACCUUCCCUUCGAAACCCACCCACACGAAUACUUCUACCCCUUAUCACAGCUCCAAUGCCCACAGGCAUCUGUCUCUAGCACAAAUCUUUUACUGAAAUCAGGGAGAACCAACACAGGGGCUGUGAAGUUUGUGCCCAAGAAAAAAAAAAGAAAAAGCAGAAAAGCUGUGAAGUUUGUGCCCAAAGAGGCCAGAGCCGAAAAAUCCCCAAGGCAUUAGCACAUUGCUUUUUUUUUUUGUAGUUUUGAACCCUUACAUUUUCCACACCAUUUUCUUUCAACUGGGGGCAUCAACCUCUAAGGCCGGAUCGAGGAGGAUAUUGCCAAUAAAGUGCGUCCAUGUAUUUUUUUACAUUUCAACUCUUACGUGCCCUUUUCCCCCUCACUCAUAUAUAAUAUACUUCUUCCAUUCCUAAAUAUAAGUCUUUCUAGAGAUUCCACUAAGGAUUACAUACGGAGCAAAAUGAGUGAAUCCACACUCUAAAGUGCGUCUAUAUACAUUCGUAUGUAGUCCGCAUAGAAAUCUCUAAAAAGACUUACAUUUAGGAACAGAGGGAGUAGUAAUUAUUGCUGAUAAAAAGGUAGCAGAAGGUCGUUCUUUCUUACUCUAAGUUGCAUUCGGGUGCUGCCGUUUUAGAGCUAGGCGAUAUUCUUUGUGUAAACCAGUAUCGUAUCUGUUCGAUAUGGACCAUUCUAUAAGUAUAGUCAUUUCAGUCUUCCUCAAAGGAUCUCCGAUCUAUUGUGCAACCUUCCCUUCGAAACCCACCCACACGAAUACUUCUACCCCUUAUCACAGCUCCAAUGCCCACAGGCAUCUGUCUCUAGCACAAAUCUUUUACUGAAAUCAGGGAGAACCAACACAGGGGCUGUGAAGUUUGUGCCCAAGAAAAAAAAAAGAAAAAGCAGAAAAGCUGUGAAGUUUGUGCCCAAAGAGGCCAGAGCCGAAAAAUCCCCAAGGCAUUAGCACAUUGCUUUUUUUUUUUGUAGUUUUGAACCCUUACAUUUUCCACACCAUUUUCUUUCAACUGGGGGCAUCAACCUCUAAGGCCGGAUCGAGGAGGAUAUUGCCAAUAAAGUGCGUCCAUGUAUUUUUUUACAUUUCAACUCUUACGUGCCCUUUUCCCCCUCACUCAUAUAUAAUAUACUUCUUCCAUUCCUAAAUAUAAGUCUUUCUAGAGAUUCCACUAAGGAUUACAUACAGAGCAAAAUAAGUGAAUCCACACUCUAAAGUGCGUCUAUAUACAUUCGUAUGUGGUCCGCAUAGAAAUCUCUACAAAGACUUACAUUUAGGAACAGAGGGAGUAGUAAUUAUUGCUGAUAAAAAGGUAGCAGAAGGUCGUUCUUUCUUACUCUAAGUUUCACUCGGGUGCUGCCGUUUUAGAGCUAGGCGAUAUUCUUUGUGUAAACCAGUAUCGUAUCUGUUCGAUAUGGACCAUUCUAUAAGUAUAGUCAUUUCAGUCUUCCUCAAAGGAUCUCCGAUCUAUUGUGCAACCUUCCCUUCGAAACCCACCCACACGAAUACUUCUACCCCUUAUCACAGCUCCAAUGCCCACAGGCAUCUGUCUCUAGCACAAAUCUUUUACUGAAAUCAGGGAGAACCAACAUAGGGGCCUCAAUUAAAGCUUGCUUGAGAACAUCAAAGGAUUGCUUUGGCUUGUCCACACAAAUGAUACUCCUUUCUUUAACAAGUUCGUGAGAGGUCUCCUAAUUAUGUAUAUACAGGAUGAGUCACAUCUUGACCGGAGCCAUGCGGAGCACAAAAAGUGAAGAGAAAGGAUUUGUUCACCACUUUAAGCCAAAAGAUAGAAAUGAAAGCUGUUCCCAUAGAAUGAGAUUAGAUCCCGCAAGUGAGCUAUUUAUACCGAAGCUUACAAGAAGCAAAGUUGAAAUGGGAGCUUUCCCACCACGGCAUCCAACUCUUCUCUUCUGUAAGCAAAGGGGCUUUCAACUAGAUAGGGAGCUAUACAAUUUCACCCGUGGGUGGGGCUGGCUACGCUUGCUAGAUUGGAUCAAAUAUACGUGUCCUACGCUAGGCUCGUUGUUUCACUCCUCCAAGCAUUCCUUGCCAAUGGGUAAAGCCUUUAUCUAUCACUUCGGUCGGAGACAUAUUAAUUACCUUUUUUAUCCUUGGACCCUUGAAAGCUCGCUUCCCUUCCUGAACUGAGGGAAACCGGUGCCUGAGAGAUCCGAUAUCUGCAGUCUCUGAGCUUGAUUGCACAUCUUUUCCUGCUCAUACAUGUGUUUUUGCACGCUUGAGACCUCCUCUUUCGCUUGGCUAUCCGAGGAAAGAUGUCUUACGAGGUGGGUUGGACAACGUCCGUAGUGAGCCUGCUACUAUCAGUGUGAAGAUGGGCAUCUAUCUUUCUUUUCAGGAUUUAGUGUGUGUGUGCUUGUUCUUAAGGGAACGUGCAAAUCACCCAAUCAUAUCAGGAUGGAUCCAAUGGGUGUGAUUUUUGUCUGUAUUGAUCACUUACCCACGCUAUAAGAAGGAGGGCGUCAUGGAAGAGUUUGGGGGUCCAAAGCCACACCUUCUUUCCCCCAUAGGAAUAGAGGUCAGGAGUUGCCGGCAGGGCGCUGCAUUCAAUCUGACUGAUGGCUCAAGAUAAGUACGAGACGUACUUGAGAUAGAUAAUUUAUGUAUUUCGCUAUUUCAAAUACCUAAACUGCUGCUAACAAGAAUAAGUACGGAGAGAUUGGAUCUCCCUGGCGUAGUCCCUGAGAAGGUUUGAAUUCCUCAAGACGCUCCCCAUUGAAAAGAACCGAGAAGGUAACUGAAGUCACUAACCUCAUCACCAUAGAAAUUCCACCUUCGCUGAAAAAAAGUGGGCUAGAUAGCCGUCCAGGCCAGGGGCCUUUCAGGGUACAUCUUAAAAAGGUCACACUUCAGAACCAGUAAAGGGCGCAAUCAAUUGCUCAUUCAUUGCCUGAGAUACUUUCCGAGGAACUGUCGACAGAACGAACAUCCUCCAUUCUUUCAGUACCUUCAGCAGGAUAGAGAUGUUUAAAGAACUCAUUCGUCAUCCCACUCAUCUCCUCUGAAGGGACAACGAAGGAUUGUCUGAAGUAGGACCUAUUCAUAGCUCAUUUCAAAUGGGCCAAAGAAAUUAGGGCCACAGAGACCCCCCCGGUGUCAUGAAAAGAGAAACUUUCGGUAGUCACAAAACCCUAUUUUAAGAAAUAAGUCAUUAGAUCUUGUAUCAGCUAUAGCAGUGAAGUUCUCAUAAGCUUUCAUCAUGUCGAGCUUUAGUGCACACACCUGAUCAUCUCGUGCCUUUUAUAUAGUUUCUAGUUUAGGAGUCCGAGCUGGAAGAACAAAAGGUGGAGCUCCGCCCUAGUGUUACCCUUUGCCUCGCUCUUUAGAGGCAUGAGUGGUCACAACUCGACGUAGUCUAGCAGUUCUAUUUGGCGCACGAAUUGCGUAUAACAAAGUUGAAGAAGGCAUUCUAGGAGCUAAAGGCGUCUCACUCGUCUCUCAUUCGCUCGAUGCUUAAGUACCGGUUUGCUUCUACGUCUACGGUUGAACUUGAAGGCCUCGGAUUUCGAAACCUGUAGAGCUUGCACGGUGAAGAACAAGUACAUACUUCAUACGAAGAAAUGGUAGUCGGACUCCUCUGGUUUUCUCCACAGUAGGAGUAAGCAUAAUCCUAAAGCCGGCCCAAUGGGCUAUAUUUCUUUAGAGUACUCAAAAAGUGUGCUUUUGUCGGAGGGAGAUUGUUGGGUCUAUGUAGAAUAGAGAAGCAGCAAAAGAAAAUAAAUUGAGUAGCCAAAGGCCUCGUGCACAGUAUGGAAGGAAGAGGAAAAAUGCACGGUACGCAAUGUAUGAUGAUGAACGUAUGGAGUUAGUUCGGUGGGUUGGUUGGGGAGUAGGGCCGGGGGGAGAAACUUGUCCCUUCUUGAUGGCGAGUAUAUGCUUGGAUCGAUUCUUGUGCUCCCUAUGCGCGUGUUCUUGAUCACCGAACAAGUUACAAAAUAAGUUUAUGCGCUCCUAUCCUUGUUCUUGUGAGUCCUUGUGAAGCUACAUUGGUGAUGGUUGGUGGUAGAUGCGGAUUACCAGCGAGCUCUGGAUGCUACUCUUAGGGAUAUUAUUACUGUGCUUUUUUGCUAUGGUUAGUCAUGAUUACUGAUCAGUUGAGCAGUUCUUUUGAAUGUACCAAUUUUAUUUUUUCAUUUAUUUGUUUCCCCCCAUUUGAAACAGGGCUCAAGUCGCUUCGUGAGAUGCAUUUCACACCUGACUCACCUCCCACGCCUAAAAUGUCUCCAGUUGUGCAUGUCCGUGCUGCUGCCGCCCCAGGACAAGUGAAGUGCCCCCAUCGACUAUGGAGGAGCUUUCGAUGUCUGUGCCGCGCGAUCAGUCGGGAUCGGUGGCCUUCAGUUCCUGCCGGAUUUCCCUUGUGACGUUAGUCCUCGCAGUAGCAGCUGCAGCCUUGAUCAUGUUGCUGUUCUGAUACAUGCUUGUCUGACCUCGCUCUUGAACUUGUGCAUGUCUGCUUCGUCUUUCUUGAUCGGUUCCUCAUAUUGCAUACAAUGAAGUGGUGUCAUGUAAUGCUGGGCAUAAUCUCUGAAAACUCCUGACUGGUUCGGUGUGGUUUUGUUUAUUCAACACCAAUUGCCUUAGCUUUCUUUUUCUGAA
Molecule: RNA transcript, 10893 nt
Organism: Triticum aestivum (bread wheat)
Lineage: Eukaryota; Viridiplantae; Streptophyta; Magnoliopsida; Poales; Poaceae
Gene name: tRNA(His) guanylyltransferase
Exons: 8
Source: RefSeq, a predicted model, not a curated record